Long non-coding RNA from Bubalus bubalis (water buffalo), 8155 nucleotides. RefSeq lists it as uncharacterized. The record is from RefSeq and is a predicted model, not a curated record. The transcript is spliced from 2 exons. NCBI's taxonomy places the organism in Eukaryota, Metazoa, Chordata, Mammalia, Artiodactyla, Bovidae.
CCCACUCCAGUGUUCUUGCCUGGAGAAUCCCGGGGACGGGGGAGCCUGGUGGGCUGCCGUCUACGGGAUCACACAGAGUCCGACACAACUGAAGCGACUUAGCAGCAGCAGCAGUGUUACAAAGGUACAGGGAAAACAUGUGGUAAUGCAAUUCGGGAAAACAGUAAAAAUCAAAAGUACUUGUCCUUCCACCUAGAAAUCCCACUACGAGGAAUCCAGCCUAAAGGAAAUAAAGAUAAGCAUAAAAAUUCAGCUAUUAGUUUGUUCAUAGUGGGAGUGUUUAUUAUUGUGGAACAAUGAUGCUACUCCAGAUAGCCAAUAAUAGAGUUGCAUCAAAUUAAUUGUUCAUCUGUCUCAUGAGAUAAUUGUGCAUCCAUCAAAAAAAAAAAAUGUAGAAUUUUAUUAACUGAUAUAUGUGGUAAACUUCUGUUAUUAUGCCUUCCCAGAAUCCAUUCAUCCCUUUUUCAGACAAGAGAACCCCAGUUUUCUUAGAAGGGAGCCUACUUCUCUUGUUCCAUGAAGUGGGUUGAGCACUAGUCAGCUUCAGGUAGCCUGAGGCUGAGGCCUCGUUGAAUCAGCAUAUUCUGUCUUCCAGCCUCAAUGAUGGGUUUAGAGCUGGGCUCCUGACCUAUGUUGGACCAGUAUGUUUCAGUCCCAGGAAUUUGUCCAAAAUAUUGGACAAGAGCAGCUCUUUUUUUUUUUUUUUUUUCUGCCGGAGUUGGUGAAAAGGAUAGCUUAGAGUUGUUGGGAAGAAUUAAGUUUUUACCUGAAUUAAGCCUAUAGAAAAAUAAAUAGUCGAGAGAUGGCAAGGCUAUAGCUCCCAUGACAUCAUUAGACCCUAGAUCCUAGCCGUCUGAUUUCAGACUGCACCUGAACUUUUCACCCUUUGACUUAAGCCAGUUUGAUUUUUUUUUUUAACCUGACAUCAAUAAAAAGUCAGGAAGUUAGAAAAGUAUGUUGGAAAAUUGUAUAUUUCCUCACUUUCACAAAACAUUUUCACAGAUAAGAGUCUUAAGGGACACAUUCUGUAAUGAUAAAGGCAAUUAUCUGUGGAUCAGGGGAUUGUCCAUGCUUUUUAUUCUUGUUUAAUGUCUGAAGACAAGCUUUUCUCUCUAUAUAAAAUUAGAAGGCUUUCCAUGAGUGUCAUCUUUGACUCCAUCACACCAGCAUUAUAAUUUAGAUUUAAAAUAUAUACAGGCGCCUGUCUUUAGCCAAAUGUCUAUCAUCUGAAUCUCCGCUGUUACAAGGCGGCACAUGCAUUGCUUCUGGGAUGUCACUGUCCCUCCUCAGUGGGCGGAGGUGGGAAACACACAUAUGAACACAAUAUCCACACACCUAUGUCCAUGUGUUACGUAUAUACACUAGAAUUUGCCAGUCCUCGUCCAUCACCACAGCGUUUAUUCCAGCCUUCCACCUCUCCAGAUAUGUACCUCCCAUCUCCUGUGGUAGAAACCUGGUUCUUUUUAUUUGCAAUCUAUUUACUUACCUGUUCAAGCCCCAUUGUUACUGUUUAAUCACUAAGUUGUAUCCGACUCUUUUGCGACCCCAUGGACUGUAGCCCACCAGCUCCUCUGUCCAAAGGAUUUCCCAGGCAAGAAUACUGGAGUGAGGUUGCCAUUUCCUUCUUCAAAAGCCCCACAUAUAGAAUCAAAGCUCCCAACCCUGUGGGCCCUCUCCUCUACUUGGGGCCAGCCAGGCGCUCCCCAGUCCUGAUCGUGGUCUUGCUGCCUCACUCCAGCUCCAGCUCCGCUGGCUGAGUCCUCUAGUGAGAUAUUCCUAGGCAGAGGAAGUCGAUAUGCUAAUGCUGACACGUUUGGAAACCAUUCACUUAUUCAACAAGUAAUUGUUGAGUACUUACUGUAUGCCAGGCAUUUUUUUUUCUUUUUUCAGCAUGUGGGGAUAGUAGAAGCGGGGGUGGGGGGAGGAAUUCUGGAUAUAGUUUGGAAGUAGAAGCAGUAGGGUUUGAUAGUAGGCUGGAAGUGGGUGAGAUGAGGACUUAAAGAUAACUCCAAAGUUUUUUCUCUGAACAACUAGCAAAAUGAAGUUGUCAUUAACGGAAAUGAAGAGAGUUGCAAAAAGAUGCAAGUACAGGAGAGCAGCAUAUCAGGAGCUCAGUUUUGGAUGUGUUAAGUUGGGAGGUUCUUUGUAGUCAUCCUUCUAGAGGUGUUCGGUUGGCAGUUGUAUAAGGGUCUGUAGUCUGAGAGAGAGAUAUGUGCUCCAUCUGCAUUUAGAUGGUAAUUCAAGUCAUGAGAAAGGAUGAGUCCACCCAGGGAGUGAGCGGAGAUCGAGUAGGACAAGGUUCAGAAACUAAACCAUGAUGGAUUCCCAGCAUCAGGAAUGGAUUCCCUGUAACACAUGCUGAUGAUCAUUUGAAUAAAACCAGGGCUGAAAUAUGACUAUUUGAUUUUGGAGUGUGGAUGUCAGUUGUAACUUUGAGAAGGGCAGUUUCAGUGGAGUAGUAGGGGCAAAAUCCUGAUGGAGCAGAUUCAAAAGGGAAUAGUAGAGAUAAAAUUGGAGAGAGUAGGAAUUGUUUCAAGAAUUUUUUUUUUCUAUUGUAAAUGGAUGGAAAGACAUGAGGCAAUAGCUGCAAGGGGCAUGUGAGUUUAAAAGAAAUCUUUCCCGCUCCACACCCCCACCACCAAAAUGCAAGAAAGAAUAGCAUAUAUAUGCAUAUGUCCAUGGAAAUGAUCCUGUAGAGGGGAAAAACUGAUGUUAGAAAAGAGCGAAGAGAUAGUUUGAGGAAGGAAGCUGGAAGUGUUUAAUUUGGGGUUGGGGGAGAUACGUGGAGAAGGAAACGGCAACCCACUCCAGUAUUCACGCCUGGAAAAUCCCAUGGACCUAGGAGCCUGGUGGGCUACAAUCCAUGGGGUCGCAAAGAGUCAGACACGACUGUGCGACUUCUGUGUUCUGUGUGUGGGGGAGAUACGGGGCAGCUAAUGAACUGAAUAUUCAGGGAGCUUAUUGGAGUUUUGCCAGACCCAGUGUUAAGGGUUAGAAAAAUGAAGUAAAGACUGAAGAGAUCUGAUUGGUCAAGAGAGGGAGUAGUUAAUGGGAAGAAGAUCUUAAAGUUGAGGAGCAGACUGAGGGAAGUCAGCGGCAGGGAAUGAAGUGAUCAGCUGUGAUAAGAGACCAGGAUAUUGGUGCUGAAGGUUCCAAAGAUGAAGCAACUUCCAGAGAAGACAAGGUUCCAAGUGUCCCUGUUAAGUCUGAGUGAAAUAAAGUUGCUCCAUAUGAAUACUUAACAUUGAACCAAAAGCCAUGUGCUAGCGUGAUGGGUGUGUAGGAGUGACCAGGGAGGCUGGCAGGUGACUGAGACGAGGACGGGCGGUAGGGCUGGAUGGUGAGCAUGGAAGGCAAGGGGGCCCUCUUGUGUUGUAGACCAUCCUCUAGGGUAGUGAGUUUCCUGUUUCUGUAAGUUUUAAGAAAACACUGGUGACUCUUGAGGGUUUUAAAAAAGAACUUUUGAAUCUAGGUUCAUUUGUAGGAGACUAUCCCAUGAGGAAAGGAGCUGGCAGGCUGCAGUCCACAGGGGUCACAAAAGUGUUGGACAUGACUUAGCAACUAAACAACAAGAGAAUUUUAAACCCUAGAAGUAUGAUACUAUGAUAAUUCUUUUGAGUUAUACCUCUAGAAAAUUUGUUUUUUGUAUACAUUAGAAUUCUAUUUUUUCCCUAUAAAAAUUAUUUUCUCAAGAGAGUGAAGUUUACCCUGCUUAGGAUCGCCUGCACAUCUGGUACUUAUUUGCAGGCAUAUAAAUAAUUAAUAGAUUCAACGACAUAUUGCAAAUUUCACAUUGAUGUGUAAAAUAUAUUUAGCACCAUUAAACAUCAAUAGUGACUUGCUUUGUAGUUAGGUCUUAUCAAAUAAUAAACAUCCUCUGACUGCAAACAGUUUUUCUCCAAGUGGGUAAUCCAUAAUAGUAGGAAAUUAAAAAAAAAACCCUCCAGCCUGGUCUUGAUCACCCCCUGAAAUUGUCAGUGAGAAAUAGAUCACUUAGUACCAGCUGAAUUUAAUAAGUUUAUUCAGUGUAAGUAAAAGAAGCAAUAAUUUUAAGUCAACUGCAAAAAAAAAAAAAAUGUCAAAUAGAAAUAGUUUUUGGACUGUCCAGUGCUUGUGGUUUAUGUCUCCAUCCCCUGGAGAAAUAACAAUACCCAAACACACCCGAAAUACAUAUAUGAAGCUUUAAAAGCAUACAGCUUAUAUCUUUUAUUCCGUACACACUAUUUCCUUCCCUUUAGUCAUUUUUCCUCCCCGCCUCCACCUCCCCAGGGAAUUUCAUAAAUAUAAGCACAGAGCCUUAUAGACAUUUGCUAAAAAAUUUUUAUUAACUGAGAAUAUCACAUUGUUUCACAGUAAAAUGAUUUUACCCUCCAAAUGAUUACAAAGCUUUUUUUCAUUAAAAACAUUUUGGUUAUCUAUAUUAAAUUGAACAUUAUAAAAAAUCAAUUAUAAAUUAUACUCUUUAAAAAGAAACAUAAAAUUUUUUAAAAGGCAAGUACUAAAACACUGCACACUGAUCAAACCCAGCAUAAUCAUUUCACAUAAGUGACCUAUAUUUAAACAACUCCUGUGCCAAAAAUGGCACCCUGUGUAGACAGAGCAGAGUCACUCUGCAGCAUGCACUCGGAAUAAUCUGGUUUUGAUGUCUAAGGUCAAACAUGUUUUCCUAACUUUGAAAAUAUGCAAAAUAAUUUAAAAAUUAAUUUUCAGUUAAACAUUAAAACAAGUUGACAAAAAAAGUGUCUAUUAGGAGAUACUUAAAAUAUCCAAGCUCUCUCUAAUACUGCAGGGUUCAGUCUGUCAUAGCUAUAACUUUCAAGCUAAAAUAAAUUUGUAGGAGAACAGAAUGACAAAAUGCAAAUUUAUCAAGCACUGGGCAAUGCCUUAAUAAUGUUAUAGUUCUCAAACCACAAUAUUAUAACAAUUACAUGAGAAGUUAUUCCUAAGGGGAUAUUUCGUCUCACUCCACUGUAACUUUUUUUGAGUACAGUUGGUUUACAAUGUUGUGUUGGUUUCCGCUCUACAGCACAGUGAAUCAGUUAUACAUAUACAUAAAUACAUUCUGUUUUAGACUUUUCCCAUAUAGGUCAUUACAGUAUUGAGUAGAGUUCCCUGUGCUAUAUGGUAGGUCCUUGUUAGUUACCUGUGUUAUAUAUAGUAGUAUGUAUAUGUCAAUCCCAAUCUCCUCCCUCUAUAACUUCUGAUUAACAGGCCCCCAUUCUCUUACAUACAAAUCAUGUUAACAGUAAAAUGGCAUUAUCAUUAGUUAACAGUGAAUCCAGUAUGUUCUAGUAGAUUCUAAAUGUUUGGUUUUCCUAAUUAGAAAAAUGAUAGUAUUUUUCUUACAUUUUUAAUAUCUUCACAAAAAUAGAGUUAAGGCAACAUCUAUAAAGACAGCAAGGUUAAAUACAAAUCUGUGGUCCCCACUUCCUCUGAAUCCUACUCGCAGGUACGUUAUGGACUCAGAGACCUGCAUGGAAUCUGGGGUAGAGUUCUGGUGCGAGUCACACAGUCAGCCACGACCAUGAUGCUCAGAGCCAAUCAUAGGCCACCAUACUGAAAGGCGAGAAACCUCUGUCAUUAGAUUGGGAACUUGUGGAUUAACCCCUACACCAUUGCCACACUCAGUGGUAGCCUUUUCAAAAACUCCAGUAAGACGAAACUCAUUGCCACAGUCCCUGAUCCGCUUGGAAAGGAGUGCUUCUUACAGGAGUUUAACAUGGAAGCUAUAAGGCUAAGGCACAAGCAUACAAUCUGUUGUCAGCGAUCAUCCAUCUUCCUGCCAAAGAAAACAUGAAGGCAAGACCUCAUCGUCAAGCUGCCGGUGUAAUUUGUACAAGCCACUCACGAUGCAUUUUAGCAACUGUUCAUUAUUGUAUAUAGGUUAUAAGGUUCAUCUUUUUUUUUUUGUUUUCCUUUUUCAGAUUAUCCACAGGCCAUAUAAGUUAAUAUUCCAUUUUUGUUUCCUUUUAAAUACUACUUAUCGGAACAAAACACGUUUUGUUUUACUGGUAUUUCGACCCCCUUUAACAGCCUACUCUCCCUUGCCUUUUAGUCUCCAGAAUCAUCACUCACUCACUGAUGAUGCAGGAAUUGAUUACGCUGGGUUUUUAGGUAGACCCCGGAAGCUGAGGUAGGUGGGCUGCCAUGACAAAGCUGAGUGUCAUGAUCAAGUACUAGAAAAGGUUUCAUUUCAUUCUCACGGUCUUUCCAGCAUACUAAUAAAAAACAGAAACCUCGUUUCAUAAAUGAGGUAGCCUCCUAUUUUAUAUCUGUCAAAAAAAAAAUUGUACCAUGGGAAAUUUCCUUGAAUGUAGAGAGGCCAAAGUAAUUAACGUUUACUUUUUAAAAUUAUUAAUUUUUAAAGCUAAAGCUAAAGUAGGCUACUGUAUCCCAAAUAUCAAGGUUUGAAUGAUUCAAAGAUGUGGCAAUGAAUUGUUUCAUGGGUCCUAAGCAUUCAUCUGAUAAAAAUCCCUAUUUAUGGUAGUUUGGUAAUAAUGAGUCUAUGGUGUGUGCAGGCUUCACAUUUAGCUAUGGGGAUUUGGCCCUUUAUUCUUGAAAAUUGUAACCUAUCACUUGCAGUGUAUAUCUGAAACAAAGCAUGAGUCUCUAUCAACAAGUAAAGUGAUACAACAUGGCUGUGACUAUUCAUACACUCAGCCUGGAAGCUGUGUGUUGCUGUUGUCUACCUUAUUAUUUGCUCCCUCCUUGCAGCAACAAUGAAGUUUUCAGUUUGAAAACUCCUGAAUAGUUUUAAAUAUGUAUUUAAAUUAUUCACGUAUUUUUAAAUUUUGGAGCUAAUUUGCUCAUACUUUCCACCCAUGUCUCUAGACGCCGGGAACUUACUCUUAAUACCAUUCACCAUAAAUUGUAACCAGACCUAAAGCAGAUUCACGAGAGACUGCAUCCCAGAGGCCUGCUAGAUUCCCAGGCAGACUCCAGGGUAUGUUCUCGGGACUACAAUUUAGCAAAAUUUUAAUGGAAUAUGAAAAUCAAAGUAAAAAAAGUAUGCUCUGAAAAUAUGUUAACAACUUGACAUACUUUCCUCUCAAAGCAUUUACCUUAAAUAUUUAAAGUUUUAUAUGUUAACACAAAAGUUGACAAUUAUAUGAAACUUCUUAUCCCCCCACCCAUUAUAAUUUUUUUUCCAGUGUACCAUUAGAACUCUUAAGUGGAAAGCUGAGAGCAAGCCAUUCUCUAGGUUACACAAAAUUGGAUGGGGUUCCAUCCUCUGAAAUCACCGGGACCAGUAAGUACUGCAACUAAGCAACCAGUGGAACUAAGCAGGGAUAAUCACUGACUCUUCAGCAGGCUUUUGAAGGAUAUAGGGAAGAAAGGGCAAAAGAAUGAUAAAGACAGUAUAAAAAGAGGUAUGGAAGGGCAUGAAAGUUCGCCACCAGGAAGUCUUCAGUCCCACACAUGCUACAGGUGCCUACCUCUGAUCUCAUAGCACAUUUUCUAUUCAGCCUUAUUGGAUUUAUCAUCAGGUUAUCUGAACAUGGGACAGCUUACAAAUAACAGUGGCACGUAUUUAAGUGUUAAGUGCAGUUAAAGGAGUAUAAUUACCAGAAGUAAACAUAUGUUUACUUUACAACCAAGUGUACAUUUACUUUAAAAGUGUGGGAAGUUGAAGCUAAUGGCAUUAAUUUUUUUUCCCCCUAUACUUGGGCAGAGUCCAUGGGAUCAUCUGCAAACAUAUCUAAACAGAUAAUGUCUGAUCAUGAAAUGCAAAUGAAGUCUUAUUUCUAUUUAUGAAUAGAAUUUGAAGCUCAGUGCAAGCACUGUGCAGUUUUCAGGAGAAAUUACAGGUCUUGGGGUAGGGCUAUAGACUAAGCAUUGCAACUGUGAUCAGAGAGAUAAAUUCUGAAAAUAGUAUCAGUAAUCUGGGUGGCUCAUUGUUACUGAAAUGGAUGCAUCCCAGCAACAGGCACUGCAGUAAAGCCUAACCAGAAUGUUUCUGGAAGAUCCUUAGGCAUCCUGUUACAGUAACAUCCCAUCCGGACUGUGUGUGAAGAGGAAUGAUCGCUCCCUUCUUUCAUGUUGUUGGCCUCAAACGCCAGAACCUUUUACUUUUGAGAAUUUGCUGAGUUCUUUAAAGAUUUUAUCUAUUCUUUUUUAAAAAAGUGUCUUGGAUUAAACAACAACAACAACAAAA